This 497-nucleotide ribosomal RNA is filed under the name uncultured bacterium. RNAcentral's name for it is "bacterial SSU rRNA". It matches the Rfam family "Bacterial small subunit ribosomal RNA", at positions 29 to 514 of the family's 1533-position model. The record is from RNAcentral.
AGUGAACGCUGGCGGCAGGCCUAAUACAUGCAAGUCGAACGGCAGUACAGCAGAGCUUGCUCUGUGGGUGGCGAGUGGCGGACGGGUGAGGAAUACAUGGGAAUCUGCCCAGUCGUGGGGGAUAACGUAUGGAAACGUACGCUAAUACCGCAUGCGCCCUACGGGGGAAAGUCGGGGACCGCAAGGCCUGACGCGAUUGGAUGAGCCCAUGUUCGAUUAGCUAGUUGGCGGGGUAAAGGCCCACCAAGGCGACGAUCGAUAGCUGGUCUGAGAGGAUGAUCAGCCACACUGGAACUGAGACACGGUCCAGACUCCUACGGGAGGCAGCAGUAGGGAAUAUUGGACAAUGGGGGCAACCCUGAUCCAGCCAUGCCGCGUGAGUGAAGAAGGCCCUCGGGUUGUAAAGCUCUUUUGUCCGGAAAGAAAAGCAAUCGGUUAAUACCCGGUUGUCCUGACGGUACCGGAAGAAUAAGCACCGGCUAACUUCGUGCCAGCAG